CCCUUAGACGUUCUGGGCCGCACGCGCGCUACACUGACCAAUGCAACAAGCAUCCGUCCUUGGCCGACAGGCUCGGGCAAUCUUUGAACGCUGGUCGUGAUGGGGAUAGACUUUUGCAAUUUUUGGUCUUCAACGAGGAAUUCCUAGUAAACGCAAGUCAUCAACUUGCAUUGAUUACGUCCCUGCCCUUUGUACACACCGCCCGUCGCACCUACCGAUUGAAUGGUCCGGUGAAGCCUCCGGAUUGGCGCGCACCUCGGUGCCGCCGAGAAGUUGGCUAAACCUUACCAUUUAGAGGAAGGUGAAGUCGUANCA
Molecule: ribosomal RNA, 315 nt
Filed under: uncultured eukaryote
Lineage: Eukaryota
Description: partial 18S ribosomal RNA
Rfam family: Eukaryotic small subunit ribosomal RNA
Source: RNAcentral